Molecule: long non-coding RNA, 689 nt
Filed under: Cyanistes caeruleus (blue tit)
Lineage: Eukaryota; Metazoa; Chordata; Aves; Passeriformes; Paridae
Description: lncRNA (ENSCCEG00000012011.1)
Source: RNAcentral
UGAGAGUGUGAAGGCUGGGCAGAGGGAGAGAGGAGGGUGAUCCACAGCUGCUGCCCCUCAAGGUGAUUUCUGACUCCUCAGUAAAGCUGUCAGCCUUCAGAUAGAACUGAAGUGUUUGUCCCUUCAAACAGCUGUCCUGCCUUUGCUUCUUUUGAUGCCGUGAAGUUCAUCAAUAUUCAUCAGAACUGGAAAGAGAGAGACUAAUUUUCAGCAGAAGCAGCUGAAUGACACACUGGCAACACCAGCACUGGCAACAAGGGCAGAUCCUUUGCCCUUUGCUGUCUCUCACCCUGGACACUUACCAUGCCACCACAGUGCUGCUGGCUGGAGGAGGUCUGCCAAGCAUUUAGAAGUGAUGCCUGCACUAAUCCUACCAGCUCCCAGUGAGAGCACAGGAAAAUCUAAGCAAGCUUGCAAGCUUCCAGAACUGUGGAUUCUCUGCAAGCUGAGCUCGGGCAAGGAAGGCCAAUAGCAGGAAAGGAAAACCUGCUGCAAACCCAUCUGAAGGCAAAGGGCUGGGACCUCUGGCUGGCAGCAACUUACAGGAAUGCCACUGUUGUUUUGUUUGCAGUGAUUAAAGGUGAGCUUCUUAGCCCUGUGCUAAGGGAUUUCUUGCCUUUGAAACACAUUUUGUUAAUUAUUGCAUCCUAAUUCACUUUCUACUGUGGAAUAAACCUUGCUGUGGACAG